AGUUUGAUUAUGGCUCAGAUUGAACGCUGGCGGCAGGCCUAACACAUGCAAGUCGAGCGGAAACGAGUUAACUGAACCUUCGGGGAACGUUAACGCCGUCGAGCGGCGGACGGGUGAGUAAUGCCUAGGAAAUUGCCCUGAUGUGGGGGAUAACCAUUGGAAACGAUGGCUAAUACCGCAUGAUGCCUACGGGCCAAAGAGGGGGACCUUCGGGCCUCUCGCGUCAGGAUAUGCCUAGGUGGGAUUAGCUAGUUGGUGAGGUAAGGGCUCACCAAGGCGACGAUCCCUAGCUGGUCUGAGAGGAUGAUCAGCCACACUGGAACUGAGACACGG
Molecule: ribosomal RNA, 333 nt
Filed under: Vibrio sp. M31
Lineage: Bacteria; Pseudomonadati; Pseudomonadota; Gammaproteobacteria; Vibrionales; Vibrionaceae
Description: bacterial SSU rRNA
Rfam family: Bacterial small subunit ribosomal RNA
Source: RNAcentral